Molecule: ribosomal RNA, 1873 nt
Filed under: Escherichia coli
Lineage: Bacteria; Pseudomonadati; Pseudomonadota; Gammaproteobacteria; Enterobacterales; Enterobacteriaceae
Description: bacterial LSU rRNA
Rfam family: Bacterial large subunit ribosomal RNA
Source: RNAcentral
GGGUUGUGAGGUUAAGCGACUAAGCGUACACGGUGGAUGCCCUGGCAGUCAGAGGCGAUGAAGGACGUGCUAAUCUGCGAUAAGCGUCGGUAAGGUGAUAUGAACCGUUAUAACCGGCGAUUUCCGAAUGGGGAAACCCAGUGUGUUUCGACACACUAUCAUUAACUGAAUCCAUAGGUUAAUGAGGCGAACCGGGGGAACUGAAACAUCUAAGUACCCCGAGGAAAAGAAAUCAACCGAGAUUCCCCCAGUAGCGGCGAGCGAACGGGGAGCAGCCCAGAGCCUGAAUCAGUGUGUGUGUUAGUGGAAGCGUCUGGAAAGGCGCGCGAUACAGGGUGACAGCCCCGUACACAAAAAUGCACAUGCUGUGAGCUCGAUGAGUAGGGCGGGACACGUGGUAUCCUGUCUGAAUAUGGGGGGACCAUCCUCCAAGGCUAAAUACUCCUGACUGACCGAUAGUGAACCAGUACCGUGAGGGAAAGGCGAAAAGAACCCCGGCGAGGGGAGUGAAAAAGAACCUGAAACCGUGUACGUACAAGCAGUGGGAGCACGCUUAGGCGUGUGACUGCGUACCUUUUGUAUAAUGGGUCAGCGACUUAUAUUCUGUAGCAAGGUUAACCGAAUAGGGGAGCCGAAGGGAAACCGAGUCUUAACUGGGCGUUAAGUUGCAGGGUAUAGACCCGAAACCCGGUGAUCUAGCCAUGGGCAGGUUGAAGGUUGGGUAACACUAACUGGAGGACCGAACCGACUAAUGUUGAAAAAUUAGCGGAUGACUUGUGGCUGGGGGUGAAAGGCCAAUCAAACCGGGAGAUAGCUGGUUCUCCCCGAAAGCUAUUUAGGUAGCGCCUCGUGAAUUCAUCUCCGGGGGUAGAGCACUGUUUCGGCAAGGGGGUCAUCCCGACUUACCAACCCGAUGCAAACUGCGAAUACCGGAGAAUGUUAUCACGGGAGACACACGGCGGGUGCUAACGUCCGUCGUGAAGAGGGAAACAACCCAGACCGCCAGCUAAGGUCCCAAAGUCAUGGUUAAGUGGGAAACGAUGUGGGAAGGCCCAGACAGCCAGGAUGUUGGCUUAGAAGCAGCCAUCAUUUAAAGAAAGCGUAAUAGCUCACUGGUCGAGUCGGCCUGCGCGGAAGAUGUAACGGGGCUAAACCAUGCACCGAAGCUGCGGCAGCGACGCUGAUGCGUUGUUGGGUAGGGGAGCGUUCUGUAAGCCUGCGAAGGUGUGCUGUGAGGCAUGCUGGAGGUAUCAGAAGUGCGAAUGCUGACAUAAGUAACGAUAAAGCGGGUGAAAAGCCCGCUCGCCGGAAGACCAAGGGUUCCUGUCCAACGUUAAUCGGGGCAGGGUGAGUCGACCCCUAAGGCGAGGCCGAAAGGCGUAGUCGAUGGGAAACAGGUUAAUAUUCCUGUACUUGGUGUUACUGCGAAGGGGGGACGGAGAAGGCUAUGUUGGCCGGGCGACGGUUGUCCCGGUUUAAGCGUGUAGGCUGGUUUUCCAGGCAAAUCCGGAAAAUCAAGGCUGAGGCGUGAUGACGAGGCACUACGGUGCUGAAGCAACAAAUGCCCUGCUUCCAGGAAAAGCCUCUAAGCAUCAGGUAACAUCAAAUCGUACCCCAAACCGACACAGGUGGUCAGGUAGAGAAUACCAAGGCGCUUGAGAGAACUCGGGUGAAGGAACUAGGCAAAAUGGUGCCGUAACUUCGGGAGAAGGCACGCUGAUAUGUAGGUGAAGUCCCUUGCGGAUGGAGCUGAAAUCAGUCGAAGAUACCAGCUGGCUGCAACUGUUUAUUAAAAACACAGCACUGUGCAAACACGAAAGUGGACGUAUACGGUGUGACGCCUGCCCGGUGCCGGAAGGUUAAUUGAUGGGGU